AUUUAUACAGAGGCGGACCGAAAUCACUUACAACAAGCCCAUUCACGAAACCUAGUGGAAACAACCCACGUUAAUAGCUCUCUAGACUUCUUAUCAGUCUCAAUACUUUUAAGGAACGCCGCUGGUUGAAACAUCUGUGUAGCCUAUAGAAAUAUUCAACAGCAUAAUGAACUUUUUGGCUGUACUACAUUGUGUGAUACUUAUUUCAGUUUGUGAAAUAUUUGAAGAUCAUCGAACGAACGCUGGCAUGUGCUGGCUGCAGCAGGGUCCGGAGCACCGCUGUGACAUGGUGCUCAUGAGAGGUGUGAGCAGGGAAGAGUGCUGUGCUGCCGGCCGUCUGGACACUGCCUGGUCCAAUACCAGUCUGCCUAUCAAUGAAGUCAGCCUGCUGGGAUUCCUGGGAAUAGUUUCCUGUAAGCCGUGCAAAGAGAACUGCGAGGGGGUCAACUGCGGCCCUGGAAAAGUGUGCAGGAUGAAGUCUGGACGUCCCCAGUGCAUAUGCUCUCCAGACUGUUCCAACAUCUCCACUAAACACGCCGUGUGUGGGAGCGAUGGGAACUCAUACAAGGACGAGUGCGCACUCCUGAUGGCUCGCUGCAGAGGUCACCCUGACCUGGAGAUUAUGUACCAGGGGGAAUGCAAAAAGUCCUGCUCAAAUGUCGUAUGUCCUGGGACGCAUACCUGCGUGACGGACCAGACCAACAGUGCCCACUGCGUCAUGUGCCGCACUGCACCCUGCCCGAUGCCCAUGGUCACUGAGAAAACCAUCUGCGGCAAUGAUAACAUCACUUACCCCAGUGCCUGCCACCUGCGUAGGGCUACCUGUUUUUUGGGUCGAUCCAUAGGGGUCCGCCAUUAUGGACACUGCAGAAGUAAUGAAGGAAGUGAGGAGAAUUCACUCUUCUGAGGAUGUCGAGAGCAGAUCCACUCCCUGAACAUAUUAUGAUGGCACAUAAGACAGGGAUUACUCAGCCAAAACAGCUACGCUUCCAGACCGUAUUCACACUGACAUGAAGACCAAACUGUGCCACCCACCAAGCAAUGAAAUUACCAGCUAAAGUCUGAUGGCAGCAGUUUUUUACGAGGAUGCUGGGACAGUCAAAUAAUGUACAGUACAUUCUACUGUUGUAAUGGUUUUCACAUUGUCGGGUUGUGUUUUUGUCAUUUUGUGUGUGUUUGAGUUUUAUGGUCGCUUGACCUUGUUGUAUACUUAAAUGGUCAUAAGGAGAAUUUCAGUGACUAGGUGUUUUAUCUGAUUCCCAGUAAAUCGUGUUAUGCAAAAAAGAAGCAGAUAAUUUGGUAGAUGCAGAUAUUUGUGCACAUCAUUGUACAAGUUUGUUCCAUGCAUUCCUAUCAGUAGAUAUUUAACCUUCCUGUAAAUAGAGACCUUUUGCAGUAUCUGAAUAUAUACUGUAAAAUUCAGUUUAUUCAAUUGCAUAUUUUUGUAUU
This is an RNA transcript of Sinocyclocheilus rhinocerous, 1449 nucleotides long. It is a transcript of the gene named follistatin-related protein 3-like, with no coding region annotated. The transcript is spliced from 6 exons. The record is from RefSeq and is a predicted model, not a curated record. NCBI's taxonomy places the organism in Eukaryota, Metazoa, Chordata, Actinopteri, Cypriniformes, Cyprinidae.